UCCAAGAGGUUUGCAUUUAAGGAGAAAAG
RNAcentral lists this non-coding RNA (29 nucleotides) under Rattus norvegicus (Norway rat). The record is from RNAcentral. Lineage: Eukaryota; Metazoa; Chordata; Mammalia; Rodentia; Muridae.